RNAcentral lists this long non-coding RNA (441 nucleotides) under Mytilus galloprovincialis (Mediterranean mussel). The record is from RNAcentral. Lineage: Eukaryota; Metazoa; Mollusca; Bivalvia; Mytilida; Mytilidae.
UAAAAAAAAAAAUGGAAUAGAGGUUUAUAUAAAACUGAUAAUUUGACAAUGAGUUUUUUUAAAACAUUCUUUUAAUUUUUUACCAUCAUACUUAUUUAAACAUUUGAAACUUUCUGUCAACUGCUAUAAAUAGUAGUUUCCUGAAUUAACUUGACAAACAAAUUAAUUAAAGAAACUGAAAGGUAUUCUGAAAUCAGAACCACAACUGCCAUGAAUUGAUGUUAUAACUUUCUUCUCUCUAAUUUUGUAUAUUGAAUAUAACGAAUUUGUUUUAUUAUGUAAUAAAGUAAAUGUAUUCUGUCUUUUUUAUCUGUUAUAUCCUGAUGCGGUUGUCAACGUAUAUUUGUUCCGCCUAACAGAAGUUCCAUGUAAACUUUGUUAUGAAAAUCAUUGUCUUAAUAUAUAUUCAUGUCUAUACCAUUUAUUAUAGGAUAAAACGCC